Molecule: non-coding RNA, 247 nt
Organism: Pimephales promelas (fathead minnow)
Lineage: Eukaryota; Metazoa; Chordata; Actinopteri; Cypriniformes; Leuciscidae
Source: RefSeq, a predicted model, not a curated record
AUCUUUCACAGCCAUGUUGAGGUUUCCUGUGUAUGUAAUGUUGAGGCCAAGGGCCCAGGUCUGACAGAAUCGUUGCAGGAGGUUGAGGUGCUGCUGCAGACCUUCUUUAGUAGGUGAGAGUAACACUAAGUCAUCUGCAUACAUCUGCUUUAUCUCAGUACCCUUUUUCCAGAGAAUAGCUCUCCAGAGAAUCCAGAGAAUAGAUUUCCAGAGAAUCAUAUCUGACUGCAAACAAAGUCCCAGUCAA